RNAcentral lists this long non-coding RNA (654 nucleotides) under Pongo abelii (Sumatran orangutan). RNAcentral's name for it is "lincRNA". The record is from RNAcentral. Lineage: Eukaryota; Metazoa; Chordata; Mammalia; Primates; Hominidae.
GAGAAGGGAAGGAAGCCCAUGUGAGGACACUGAAGAAGGAGUGAGCAGACAAUAAGAAGCCCACAGAAGACAGAGAAGGAAAAACUAGAGGGAGAAGCCAAGGCAGUUUCUCCACAGACACUACCCAAAGCAGUCCUUCACUACAGUGGCAGACAGACCUGAAAAUUUUCAUCUGAAGCAGCAGAGUGAACUGCAGAGUCAGGUCACCAACCAGUGUGGAGGCUAACAGCAGGCCUCUUUGGGGAUUCCAGGAACAAAGAUCACCACAACUGGCUCCCCUUCAACUGUGUUAGAUGGCAGCUUGCCUUCAGUACGGUGAAACACAUUAGUUAAGACUGGGAUUGUGCAUGGCAGGACUUUCUACAAGGACACCCAGUCUCCUUAAUAAACAAGAGAUGCUCUCUUUCCAGAAGUUCUCUUGCCUGACACAGCAUAGGAAGAUGCUGAACGGCCACACAGUGAUCCAUUGAGAUAGACUCUCACUAUGUUGACCAGGCUGGUCUUGAACUCUUGGCACCCGAGCGAUCCUUUUGCCUGGAAUCCCAAAGUGUCAGAUUUACUGAAGAAUAUUUCAUUGUAAUUACUUUUUAUACUUUAUAGGUCAAGAGCUCUGUUUUAAAGACAAAAUUUAUUGAAUAUGCUUUUUCAAACAAA